RNAcentral lists this ribosomal RNA (471 nucleotides) under uncultured bacterium. RNAcentral's name for it is "bacterial SSU rRNA". It matches the Rfam family "Bacterial small subunit ribosomal RNA", at positions 28 to 507 of the family's 1533-position model. The record is from RNAcentral.
GAUGAACGCUGGCGGCGUGCUUAACACAUGCAAGUCGAACGAAGAUGCCGGAGUGCUUGCACUUUGGCAGACUGAGUGGCGGACGGGUGAGUAACGCGUGGGUAACCUGCCUCACACAGGGGGAUAACAGUUGGAAACGGCUGCUAAUACCGCAUAAGCGCACAGUACCGCAUGGUACAGUGUGAAAAACUCCGGUGGUCUGGGAUGGACCCGCGUCCGAUUAGUUAGUUGGCGGGGUAACGGCCCACCAAGACCGCGAUCGGUAGCCGACCUGAGAGGGUGACCGGCCACAUUGGGGACUGAGACACGGCCCAGACUCCUACGGGAGGCAGCAGUGGGGGAAUAUUGCACAAUGGAGGAAACUCUGAUGCAGCGACGCCGCGUGAGCGAAGAAGUAUUUCGGUAUGUAAAGCUCUGUCAGCAGGGAAGAUAAUGACGGUACCUGACCAAGAAGCCCCGGCUAACUACGUG